This 254-nucleotide ribosomal RNA is filed under the name uncultured bacterium. RNAcentral describes it as "partial 16S ribosomal RNA". It matches the Rfam family "Bacterial small subunit ribosomal RNA", at positions 524 to 776 of the family's 1533-position model. The record is from RNAcentral.
UACGUAGGGAGCGAGCGUUGUCCGGAUUCAUUGGGCGUAAAGAGCUCGUAGGCGGCUUGAUACGUCGGAUGUGAAACCUCCAGGCUCAACCUGGAGUCGCCAUCCGAUACUGUCAUGGCUAGAGUCCGGUAGGGGCCCACGGAAUUCCUGGUGUAGCGGUGAAAUGCGCAGAUAUCAGGAGGAACACCGGUGGCGAAGGCGGUGGGCUGGGCCGGCACUGACGCUGAGGAGCGAAAGCGUGGGGAGCGAACAGG